ACCUUCCUCUCGCUGGACUCCUCAGCCGCUCUGCAGCAUCACUAUGCCUUCUGUCAGCGGAGCAUGAGCGAGGAGCAGCAGGCUGCAUUCCGCCUCCGCUUGACUGGAGAGCUGGGAGGCAGCAGCAGGGUGACCUGUGGGGGAGUCGGGGUUGUUGCCCUCGCUCUGUCCGUGCUUUUCGACCUGGUUGCCCAACAAGUCCGAGCGCAGGGAUCGACAGAGAGGUCAGCUCAGAGAUCCCAGGCUAACAGCAUUUUAGGGAUCAGCAGUUCUUCCAGAAUCGGCCGGAUCAUCCACACCUUCCUCCGCCAGAUCCCCGGCAUCGCCAGCAACCAGGAGAAGAUGGCCGAGACCACGGAGCUCUACGACAACUGGCUGAAGCUGGAGCUGAUUGACCAUUAUAACAGGAUGACCAUGAAGAAGAGGAUGAGUUCAGUGUCCAUGCAGCAGUGGCUGGCAGGAGCUGCGUUUCAUCUGCACAUGAGGAUUCACCAGGUUCGUCUGCACUCUGUGCCUGUAGGAUCGGCAGAGUCGCUGCGUCUGUCCUAUAAGACGGCGUUAGAUCGCCUGGUUCAGGGCUUCACAGCCUAUCUGCACAGAAACAUCCAGGAGACUCCAAGAUCCCGAAAACCCAGAACCAACACAGACACUCCCACAUUAAGCAGAACAAACGUGACCUGCUCAAGUAAUCACAUGUUUAAUGAUAGCCUGAUUAGUAUCUCAACUAGUACGUUUAACGGCACUGCCACACCCAAUUCAACUGCUGGAAUCUGCAACACAGACACGCCCAGUGCAGACUUUGGACUUAAAGUGACAAACAGAAGCGAUGAGACUUCUGAAGUUGUGAUAAACAGAAAGACACUCAAUAGUUCCACUGGAUAUGAAGAUGUGCAGGGUCUGUUGGUUAUUGAGCCGUGGAGGAACGUGAGUCACGUUGUGCAGCAUCACGCCUGUGAGUCUCCGGCCAUACAGCAAGCUCUGGUGACUCGUAUCAUUAACUGCUCAGGACCUGGAGAGGAACAGAAACUUUUUCUUGUACCCAGAGAAAGUCUUCCGCAGCAUCCUCAGGCAGAAGAGCGACUUUGAGCUGAAGACAAAUUAGACAGAAAUGAACACUGGUGGAAAGUAACUAAAUACAUUUACUCAAGUAUGGUACUUAAGUACACAUUUGAGAUAGUUUUUUCCUCUCACCAUGUAAAACUCAGUGUUAUAGAAAGAAACCUUGCAGGCUUGUGCAGAAUAAGAAGUUUUCUUCAAGAUUUCUUCAAAAUAAUGAAAUUUGCAUUUUCUUUAAUUACUUGAUUUUGUUAACUAUACGAACAAAAAUGGUUUGAAGUGUUUAAUAUCUGACUCGAGAUUUAGUAAUAUUGAAAAGAUAGUUCCCUAGUUAGUGACCAACAUCACCCUGCUAGAAAGUUGUUACUUCAGAUUUACUCAAGUAAACGUGUAAAUAAAAAAAUACUCAUCAUGUAUUGAUUGGUCAAGGUUUUUAUUAAAAAGAAAAAUACUCAUUAUGCAAAAUGGCUCCUUUCAAAGUGUUACAUUAUUAAAUAAUUGUAUA
This 1561-nucleotide long non-coding RNA is filed under the name Cottoperca gobio. Its description in RNAcentral is "lncRNA (ENSCGOG00000018518.1)". The record is from RNAcentral. Lineage: Eukaryota; Metazoa; Chordata; Actinopteri; Perciformes; Bovichtidae.